Molecule: non-coding RNA, 220 nt
Filed under: Oxalobacteraceae bacterium IMCC9480
Lineage: Bacteria; Pseudomonadati; Pseudomonadota; Betaproteobacteria; Burkholderiales; Oxalobacteraceae
Description: Bacterial large subunit ribosomal RNA
Rfam family: Bacterial large subunit ribosomal RNA
Source: Rfam by way of RNAcentral
AAAAACACAGCACUCUGCAAACACGAAAGUGGACGUAUAGGGUGUGACGCCUGCCCGGUGCUGGAAGAUUAAAUGAUGGGGUGCAAGCUCUUUGAUUGAAGUCCCAGUAAACGGCGGCCGUAACUAUAACGGUCCUAAGGUAGCGAAAUUCCUUGUCGGGUAAGUUCCGACCUGCACGAAUGGCGUAACGAUGGCCACACUGUCUCCUCCCGAGACUCAG